This 253-nucleotide ribosomal RNA is filed under the name uncultured bacterium. RNAcentral describes it as "partial 16S ribosomal RNA". It matches the Rfam family "Bacterial small subunit ribosomal RNA", at positions 524 to 776 of the family's 1533-position model. The record is from RNAcentral.
UACAGAGGGGGCAAGCGUUGUUCGGAAUUACUGGGCGUAAAGGGCGCGUAGGCGGCCUUCUAAGUCGAACGUGAAAUCCCCGGGCUCAACCCGGGAACUGCGUCCGAGACUGGAAGGCUUGAAUCCGGGAGAGGGAUGUGGAAUUCCAGGUGUAGCGGUGAAAUGCGUAGAUAUCUGGAGGAACAUCGGUGGCGAAGGCAGGUCUCUGGGCCGAUACUGACGCUGAGGAGCGAAAGCGUGGGGAGCGAACAGG